RNAcentral lists this long non-coding RNA (889 nucleotides) under Olea europaea subsp. europaea. Lineage: Eukaryota; Viridiplantae; Streptophyta; Magnoliopsida; Lamiales; Oleaceae. The record is from RNAcentral.
UAAAUCAAAUAUUACAAAGAAUGCACCAUCUCUUGAAUGUACUUAUCUGAAUUGUAAAAUAGAGAUGUAAAUUUUUAUUAUACUCUUCAAUUGUUAAGUAACUUCAAAUUCUGUCAUUUUUAAUCUAACAAAAACUAAACUUUUUGAAUCUUCUUACAUAAAAUAUUAUUUUUUAUACUGAUAAGUGAUACCUUCACAAUUAAAAAUUAAAAUUGAGUGAAUUUUCUCCUUGCAACAUUUGUAAAUGGUGAACUGAAAAUAAAUUCAAGACACAAAAUUUUGUUAAUGAACAAAAUUUGAAUGUUGAUAAAGUUCGAUGGCUGAAUUUUCGAUCUCCAACUCCUACAAAAUUUCGAUAACAAAAUAAAGGAUUAGAAGGAGAUGAUAAAAAAGUGAAAUUUUUAAUAUGUACAUACAAGUGAAAUGACAUUAUUAGAACUCUUAACUGGGCAAGGCUGAUUCCAAGUCCCCCCACUUCAAAUGAUCUGUCAUGAAAUGCAACCCCAUUUUUAGCAAAAUUUUAUAUGCAAGAUAUAUAUUGUUUUGGAUAAAAUAAAGAACGAAAGACACUCAUGUGUCAUGUGUAGUUAUAAUAUUCACUUUGAAGUAUUAAAUACAAGUUCAAGAUUAAACCCCAACGUGAUGUGUUGAGCAAACCCACCUACAAUUCAAACAAACCAAUUAAUUAGUUUAGGAUUUGCAAAGGAUUAAAAUCAAGAACCAAAAACUGAAAAAUUAAAUAACGAUUUUCCCCUUCUAAAUUAGGCUCAGAAAUUUGAUCUCCAUCACAAAUGUAUCUCCAAUUUGAAGGUUAUAAUUAGUCACAAAGAUAGAUUCACAAAGAAAGACAGAGGAUGUUUUAAUUUUGCACAAAGCAGAGAGUUUUUUC